RNAcentral lists this ribosomal RNA (490 nucleotides) under uncultured bacterium. Its description in RNAcentral is "partial 16S ribosomal RNA". It matches the Rfam family "Bacterial small subunit ribosomal RNA", at positions 30 to 507 of the family's 1533-position model. The record is from RNAcentral.
AUUGAACGCUGGCGGCAGGCCUAACACAUGCGAGUCGAACGGUAACAGGGAUCAGCUUGCUGAUUCGCUGACGAGUGGCGGACGGGUGAGUAAUGUCUGGGAAACUGCCUGAUGGAGGGGGAUAACUACUGGAAACGGUAGCUAAUACCGCAUAACGUCGCAAGCCCAAAGAGGGGGACCUUCGGGCCUCUUGCCAUCGGAUGUGCCCAGAUGGGAUUAGCUAGUAGGUGGGGUAACGGCUCACCUAGGCGACGAUCCCUAGCUGGUCUGAGAGGAUGACCAGCCACACUGGAACUGAGACACGGUCCGGACUCCUACGGGAGGCAGCAGUGGGGAAUAUUGCACAAUGGGCGCAAGCCUGAUGCAGCCAUGCCGCGUGUAUGAAGAAGGCCUUCGGGUUGUAAAGUACUUUCAGCGGGGAGGAAGGGAGUAAAGUUAAUACCUUUGCUCAUUGACGUUACCCGCAGAAGAAGCACCGGCUAACUCCGUG